ACGGGAGGCAGCAGUGAGGAAUAUUGGUCAAUGGACGGAAGUCUGAACCAGCCAAGUCGCGUGAAGGAAGACGGUUCUAUGGAUUGUAAACUUCUUUUGCCUGAGGGUAAAGUGAGGGACGUGUCCCUUAUUGCAAGUAUCAGGUGAAUAAGCAUCGGCUAAUUCCGUGCCAGCAGCCGCGGUAAUACGGAAGAUGCGAGCGUUAUCCGGAUUUAUUGGGUUUAAAGGGAGCGUAGGCGGCCUUUUAAGUCAGCGGUCAAAUGUCAGCGCCCAACGCUGGCCUGCCGUUGAUACUGAUGGGCUUGAAUACACACAAGGAAGGUGGAAUUCGUCGUGUAGCGGUGAAAUGCUUAGAUAUGACGAAGAACUCCGAUUGCGAAGGCAGCCUUCUGGAGUGCGAUUGACGCUGAGGCUCGAAAGCGCGGGUAUCAAACAGGAUUAGAUACCCUGGUA
RNAcentral lists this ribosomal RNA (453 nucleotides) under uncultured Prevotellaceae bacterium. RNAcentral describes it as "bacterial SSU rRNA". It matches the Rfam family "Bacterial small subunit ribosomal RNA", at positions 341 to 792 of the family's 1533-position model. Lineage: Bacteria; Pseudomonadati; Bacteroidota; Bacteroidia; Bacteroidales; Prevotellaceae. The record is from RNAcentral.